AGCUCCAAGAGUGUAUAUUAAAGUUGUUGCGGUUAAAAAGCUCGUAGUUGGACUUUGGACGGCGGCGCGAGGUCCCCGACGGCUCCGUUCGUCGGGAAUCGGGCCCGGCGUUCGCCGUUCCGUUCCCGAAACGUCGGCGACGCGUUCGCGAAAGCGGGCGCGUCCGUUUCGGGGGUUCACCUUGAACAAAUUAGGGUGCUCCAAGCAGACGAAAUCGUCGUGAACAGGUUAGCAUGGGAUGAUGGAAGACGACGCCGAUCCGUCUUUCCGUCGGUUUCUAGGGUCGCGUAAUGAUUGAUAGGGGCGGUCGGGGUUGUCCGUAUUCGACGGUCAGAGGUGAAAUUCUAGGACCCGUCGAGGACGAACGAGUGCGAAGGCAUUCAACAAGGACGCUUUCC
Molecule: ribosomal RNA, 398 nt
Filed under: uncultured eukaryote
Lineage: Eukaryota
Description: SSU rRNA
Rfam family: Eukaryotic small subunit ribosomal RNA
Source: RNAcentral